Molecule: long non-coding RNA, 514 nt
Organism: Choloepus didactylus (southern two-toed sloth)
Lineage: Eukaryota; Metazoa; Chordata; Mammalia; Pilosa; Megalonychidae
Exons: 3
Source: RefSeq, a predicted model, not a curated record
CACCGGAGCAUUACCUGAAAUGGCAACAAAUUGUUACCAUUAUCGGUCCGGAAAGCGUUAUCCUCCAUCCAGGACUUGGAGGAACACCCAUUUCUCUUCUCAACACUCCUUUAGGAUAUAAAUCUCACUUUCUGCAUAAAUUCACUCUGUCAAGGUCAAGACCCACCCUUAAUACAUAAGGCCGUUUUAACCAAAACGCUGAUAAUGUGACCGCUCAGGGCAAAAGCACUUUGACAACUGUAAGCAGAGAGGGCAUGCGCACACAGGGAACUGUGGGGGCUGAAGUCCUUCACAAGGUACUCUGCCUGACUUCACCACGUUCAGCCAGGAAAAGAGGAAGCUUCGUUAAUACGGAUUCCAAGGGGAAGAGGUUGUACCCGGAUUACAUUAUAUCCUCAUAACCAAUCAAAAUCACGAGUUGUUGAAAUGAAAAGGGGAGAAAAUAAACUGGUUUGUCAAGUUGAUUUGGGAAGUGAGGUUAAAAAAAAACUGGAUUGUAAGACUCAGAAUAAAU